UACGUAGGGGCUAGCGUUAUCCGGAAUUACUGGGCGUAAAGGGUGCGUAGGUGGUUUCUUAAGUCAGAGGUGAAAGGCUACGGCUCAACCGUAGUAAGCCUUUGAAACUGGGAAACUUGAGUGCAGGAGAGGAGAGUGGAAUUCCUAGUGUAGCGGUGAAAUGCGUAGAUAUUAGGAGGAACACCAGUGGCGAAGGCGGCCAACUGGGCUUUUACUGACGCUGAGGCUCGAAAGCGUGGGGAGCAAACAGAAUUAGAUACCCGCGUAGUCCCUGAGCGGGCU
RNAcentral lists this ribosomal RNA (282 nucleotides) under uncultured prokaryote. RNAcentral describes it as "partial 16S ribosomal RNA". It matches the Rfam family "Bacterial small subunit ribosomal RNA", at positions 524 to 817 of the family's 1533-position model. The record is from RNAcentral.